Molecule: ribosomal RNA, 283 nt
Filed under: uncultured bacterium
Lineage: Bacteria
Description: partial 16S ribosomal RNA
Rfam family: Bacterial small subunit ribosomal RNA
Source: RNAcentral
GUGGAUUAGAUACCCCGGUAGUCCACGCCGUAAACGAUGGAUACUCGCUGCGGGCUAAAGAUUGUCCGUGGCUUAGGGAAACCGAUAAGUAUCCCACCUGGGGAGUACGCCGGCAACGGUGAAACUCAAAGGAAUUGACGGGGGCCCGCACAAGUGGUGGAGCAUGUGGUUUAAUUCGAUGAUACGCGAGGAACCUUACCUAGGCUAGAAUGCGCGUGACCGGCUCAGAGAUGAGCCUUUCCUUCGGGACACAAAGCAAGGUGCUGCACGGUCGUCGCCAACU